This 64-nucleotide transfer RNA is filed under the name Cavia porcellus (domestic guinea pig). It matches the Rfam family "tRNA", at positions 1 to 63 of the family's 71-position model. From Rfam's summary of the family: Transfer RNA (tRNA) molecules are approximately 80 nucleotides in length. Their secondary structure includes four short double-helical elements and three loops (D, anti-codon, and T loops). The record is from Rfam by way of RNAcentral. Lineage: Eukaryota; Metazoa; Chordata; Mammalia; Rodentia; Caviidae.
GGAGAUUUAGCUCAGUGGUAAUAGCACCUGCCUUGUAAGCAGGCGGUCCUGAGUUCAAUCCCUG